RNAcentral lists this ribosomal RNA (494 nucleotides) under uncultured bacterium. Its description in RNAcentral is "partial 16S ribosomal RNA". It matches the Rfam family "Bacterial small subunit ribosomal RNA", at positions 28 to 507 of the family's 1533-position model. The record is from RNAcentral.
GACGAACGCUGGCGGCGUGCCUAAUACAUGCAAGUCGAGCGGACUUAAAAAGCUUGCUUUUUAAGUUAGCGGCGGACGGGUGAGUAACACGUGGGCAACCUGCCUGUAAGACUGGGAUAACUUCGGGAAACCGGAGCUAAUACCGGAUAAUCCUUUUCUACUCAUGUAGAAAAGCUGAAAGACGGUUUACGCUGUCACUUACAGAUGGGCCCGCGGCGCAUUAGCUAGUUGGUGGGGUAACGGCUCACCAAGGCGACGAUGCGUAGCCGAGCUGAGAGGGUGGUCGGCCAAACUGGGACUUGGGCACGGGCCCGACUCCUAAGGGGAGCAGCAGUAGGGAAUCUUCCGAAAAGGACGGAAGUCCGGAGGCAGAACGCCGGGUGAGGGAUGAAGGUUUUCGGAUCGGAAAACUCUGUUGUUAGGGAAGAACAAGUACGAGAGUAACUGCUCGUAGCUUGAAGGUACCUAAACAGAAAGCCACGGCUAACUACGGG